RNAcentral lists this ribosomal RNA (393 nucleotides) under uncultured bacterium. Its description in RNAcentral is "partial 16S ribosomal RNA". It matches the Rfam family "Bacterial small subunit ribosomal RNA", at positions 523 to 918 of the family's 1533-position model. The record is from RNAcentral.
AUACGGAGGACGCGAGCGUUAUCCGGAUUCAUUGGGUUUAAAGGGUGCGCAGGCGGCCGUGCAAGUCAGCGGUGAAAGCCCGGGGCUCAACCCCGGAAGUGCCGUUGAUACUGCAUGGCUGGAAUGCGGUCGAGGCGGGCGGAACGUGGCGUGUAGCGGGGGAAUGCGUAGAUAUGCCACAGAACGCCGAUAGCGGAGGCAGCUCGCCAGGCCUGCAUUGACGCUCGGGCACGAAAGCGUGGGGAUCGAACAGGAUUAGAUACCCUGGUAGUCCACGCCGUAAACGAUGGGCGCUCGUCGUCGGCGGCAGACAGUCGGCGGCCAAGCGAAAGCGAUAAGCGCCCCACCUGGGGAGUACGGUCGCAAGGCUGAAACUCAAAUGAAUUGACGGGG